Rosa rugosa (rugosa rose) is the source of this 2079-nucleotide long non-coding RNA. RefSeq lists it as uncharacterized. The transcript has 4 exons. The record is from RefSeq and is a predicted model, not a curated record. Lineage: Eukaryota; Viridiplantae; Streptophyta; Magnoliopsida; Rosales; Rosaceae.
GCAACUAUGAAGAAGAAAACUCUCGCCUUCUCCCUCGAGCACCAGAACAAAACUCUCGAGCAAAUUUCUUGCCGGAUCUCCCAUCUCUCUAAUCAAAAGCCAAUCUCCAUCUCUCAUCUCUCAUCUCUCUUCGACAAACGCAGAACCACCUAUCCCCAUCUCUAUCUCUUCAAUAAAUACAGCCAAACCAUCCAAACUAGCCAAACCAUCUCAGUCUCUCCAAACCAGUCAAACGUAUUGGUUCCCUAUUGUUGACUCAUCUCGGAGCCCCUUUUACUUGAUCGACUCGAGUUCUCUCUGGUCCUUCUAGAUGAAGAACACACCCAAAAUACCAAAUCCCCAAAUCCAUCUGUGAUUAGCGAAUCUGGAAUUCAGGAACAUCGCACUCAAACUCAACCCCAAAAGUCAACAACGCAAGGUUAUCCAUCUCUCCUCUCGCCAUCGCCACCCAUUUCUCUUUUGUCGCUCGCACACGCUUAAUUAGUUUGGGUCUACUUCUUGCUCGCAAUCGCUCUCAAGGUUCUCCAUCUCUGCUUUACAUUCUGCUUCAUUUAUAGAUCUGGUUUGUUUUCCCUUGAUUUCUGGAUAUAGUUUGGUUUGUUUUCAAUUCAGUUUGCCUAGGGUUUAUAUGAUUGCAUUUGGGUUACAAGAUUGGGCUUUUUAUUUAGUCAUUUCCCUCUCUCUCGACCCCUCAAGCUUGUUAAAGCUUCAAUUUUUGUGGAUUGUAUGUUUCAUUGCUAUCAUAUCUAUUUGGAUUUUUCUCUCUCUUCUUUUUUGCCUGGUUGUAGGUUGAAUUGUUCUGGUGAUGCUGAUUGAAAUUACUCGUGAAUAUGUAUUUGAGGUAUUGUAACAUUUCUACAUUCCCCCAUGUUAUUAGUUAUCAGAUUAGGUAGUUCUGAUGUUGACUGAUCGAGCAUCGCCGUAGCCAUUUGUCAUUCAGAAUACAAACAAGUAGUAACUCCGAUCCAGCAGGUGUGCUCAUUUUUAUCUACCACCCUAUUUUUAUUUUGACAUAGCAAAGUCUUUUACUCUUCUUAUGGUGGUUUAAGGCUGCAGAUUGUUUUUGCAUAUUAGUAAGUUUGCAUCCUAUAGAUGCAGACUGUUUUUGCAAGGCGGAUUGAUAUCUAGUGAUGUCAAGUGAAGGUCCUCUUGGUGCUUAUGUGAACCCCAGUGGUUAUUAACACGAGAUAGUGGCUCUCUACGCAACUGGCUUAGCACUCAUAGGUUCAGCAGUGAAAGAAUACAGCUGAUUUCCUGGGUAGGACCUUACCUUUGAAACCAUAUAGUGUGAUUCCAAGUUAUUCAGGUAAUUACCAAACUUUGGGGAGUUUGUAAUACUAGGAUGGAACAAAUGCAAAAAUGCAGUUUAUGAUUAUUGGAAAUUGGAACUUAUGUCUUAAUCAUAAUGUUACGUGGAAUGACUGAAGGAUUCAGGUAUAAUAGAAAAUGGUAUCUUGCUGCAAGGAUUAUGAAUCUAAGGCAAUUGAUUAUGUUAUUCCUUUUCAAAUCCCUAGGAAUUCUGUCACUUUAUAGUACUUCAUGGUUUUUUGUUACCUAAUAAUCAAUGUUUUUAUGCUGCUAGUUUCUAUAUACUUAAUUCACUGAACUCUUAGUUCAAACACGCAAUGAGCUUGUCACCUUAUUAUCAACUUUAAAUAUCUUCUCUUCCUGCUUGUUCAUUUUCAGGGCUCAGACCUUUGCAUGAUGGAUGUGUUGGACUAUAUCGUUUGAUGCAUUUAGGUUGCUGGUGUUUCUGUUUUGUGUUGGGACUGGGUAGCUCAAGACUACAUAAUGAAGGUUCGAUGUUGGAUAAGGAGUCCAGAAGUUCAAAGCGGGCGACAAAGUUGUAGCAUUUCACCAUGUGAGAAGAGCCUCUGCUUCAGAAUUGGAAUGAACAGAAGUAGUAGAAGAAAAUGCUAAUUAACAACUGAAGCUGCUCAAGGGACAAGGUUGUGUUAACUACUUGUUUCUAUGUACUUAUUAUGUUAAGAUAAUGUAUUGAUGACUUGUACAUUUGGAGUUGUUAAUAUGAAAAGAUCAAUAUAUAUAUAUAUACAUAUGAAACUGUUUCUUUGCCAA